CCUGAUCCAGCAAUGCCGCGUGAGUGAAGAAGGCCUUCGGGUUGUAAAGCUCUUUUGUCAGGGAAGAAACGGGGUUGGCUAAUAUCCGGCCUUAAUGACGGUACCUGAAGAAUAAGCACCGGCUAACUACGUGCCAGCAGCCGCGGUAAUACGUAGGGUGCAAGCGUUAAUCGGAAUUACUGGGCGUAAAGCGUGCGCAGGCGGUUUUGUAAGUCUGACGUGAAAUCCCCGGGCUCAACCUGGGAAUUGCGUUGGAGACUGCAAGGCUGGAGUCUGGCAGAGGGGGGUAGAAUUCCACGUGUAGCAGUGAAAUGCGUAAAGAUGUGGAGGAACACCGAUGGCGAAGGCAGCCCCCUGGGUCAAGACUGACGCUCAUGCACGAAAGCGUGGGGAGCAAACAGGAUUAAAUACCCUGGUAGUCCACGCCCUAAACAAUGUCUACUAGUUGUCGGGUCUUAAUUGACUUGGUAACGCAGCUAACGCGUGAAGUAGACCGCCUGGGGAGUACGGUCGCAAGAUUAAAACUCAGG
Molecule: ribosomal RNA, 530 nt
Filed under: uncultured Massilia sp.
Lineage: Bacteria; Pseudomonadati; Pseudomonadota; Betaproteobacteria; Burkholderiales; Oxalobacteraceae
Description: bacterial SSU rRNA
Rfam family: Bacterial small subunit ribosomal RNA
Source: RNAcentral